This 301-nucleotide ribosomal RNA is filed under the name uncultured bacterium. RNAcentral's name for it is "partial 16S ribosomal RNA". It matches the Rfam family "Bacterial small subunit ribosomal RNA", at positions 509 to 809 of the family's 1533-position model. The record is from RNAcentral.
CAGUAGCCGCGGUAAUACGUAGGGCGCAAGCGUUGUCCGGAAUUAUUGGGCGUAAAGAGCUCGUAGGCGGUCUGUCGCGUCUGGUGUGAAAUCCCGAGGCUCAACCUCGGGCUUGCAUCGGGUACGGGCAGACUAGAGUGCGGUAGGGGAGACUGGAAUUCCUGGUGUAGCGGUGGAAUGCGCAGAUAUCAGGAGGAACACCGAUGGCGAAGGCAGGUCUCUGGGCCGCAACUGACGCUGAGGAGCGAAAGCAUGGGGAGCGAACAGGAUUAGAUACCCCGGUAGUCCCUGUCUCUUAUAA